Oncorhynchus masou masou (cherry salmon) is the source of this 151-nucleotide long non-coding RNA. RefSeq lists it as uncharacterized. NCBI's taxonomy places the organism in Eukaryota, Metazoa, Chordata, Actinopteri, Salmoniformes, Salmonidae. The transcript has 3 exons. The record is from RefSeq and is a predicted model, not a curated record.
GAGCUCCUCCGUGGCCACUGUGGUUAUCAAGAGGUUCCAGGAGGGACAGACAGUGGGAAGUCUUGAUUCUAAACCACAUGGGUUCUGCUCUGAGCACGGCGUGACCUUUGAGACAGCCAUCAUAGACUCGUUUGAGGUGGCGUUCGGCGGG